This 305-nucleotide ribosomal RNA is filed under the name uncultured bacterium. RNAcentral's name for it is "bacterial SSU rRNA". It matches the Rfam family "Bacterial small subunit ribosomal RNA", at positions 338 to 641 of the family's 1533-position model. The record is from RNAcentral.
CCUACGGGGGGCAGCAGUGAGGAAUAUUGGUCAAUGGGCGGGAGCCUGAACCAGCCAAGUCGCGUGAAGGAAGAAGGUAUUUAGUAUUGUAAACUUCUUUUGUCGGGGAACAAAGGCGGAGACGCGUCUCCGGAUGAGUGUACCCGAAGAAAAAGCAUCGGCUAACUCCGUGCCAGCAGCCGCGGUAAUACGGAGGAUGCGAGCGUUAUCCGGAUUUAUUGGGUUUAAAGGGUGCGUAGGCGGAAGGUUAAGUCAGCGGUCAAAUGUCGGUGCUCAACACCGGCCUGCCGUUGAAACUGGUCUUC